This 236-nucleotide long non-coding RNA is filed under the name Mytilus galloprovincialis (Mediterranean mussel). Lineage: Eukaryota; Metazoa; Mollusca; Bivalvia; Mytilida; Mytilidae. The record is from RNAcentral.
AUUGUUACUAGUUACUAACAUCUACAUCGUUUUUGGUUCUGGUGGAUAUUUGUUUCAUUUUCAAUCCUAUCACAUCUUCUUAUAUUAGUUAUGUACUUUUUCCAUCAAAACGUUUAACUCAACUUCAUAUCUAUCUUAUGAUGACAUGAUUUCAUUCAAAUAAGAAGCUCGCACAGAUAAAUUAUGUAACAUCCGCUAAUGAUUUAAAUUGAUUGAUAAACAAGAUAUGUUUUGUC